Lagopus leucura (white-tailed ptarmigan) is the source of this 922-nucleotide long non-coding RNA. RefSeq lists it as uncharacterized. The transcript is spliced from 7 exons. NCBI's taxonomy places the organism in Eukaryota, Metazoa, Chordata, Aves, Galliformes, Phasianidae. The record is from RefSeq and is a predicted model, not a curated record.
GCUAGGCACUGCUCACCGUACUUCAGCUCCGUGUUUUUUUUUCCCGGCUUCGGGGAGUCGUGAUGAGAGCUAGUUUUUUGUCGGAGAACGGCCCUACCUGGGAGGCGGGGCAACGCUGUACAGGUCUCCCUGAUGGCAUUCACCAGGCUGCCUCCCGCCAUAGUUGUAUCCUGCUGGAAAGUAAAUUGAGGCACACAUUCAGAAAAUCAGGAUGUGGAUGUCACUUUUUCACUGAAGUUUUUAGGCCACGCACACGGACAAUGAAUGUCACCAGGCGAUUCAGCUCUGGAGUAGCCCAUGCGUUUUGACUUGUUGCUGGAGCUCUCUAGACACAUCUGCUGCCAUGAGAUGCCUCAGCCAAGGAUUUUGAGCCAAGACAUGAGGGAAAUGGUUUAACCAGAUGUGUGCCCAUGUCUGCAAAACAGAAUUUUAAGAUGCUGAAAUUUAAAAGCUUGCCAUCAUCUCUCCUGCCUCCCAGCAGCAAGGACCCCUGGGCCUCUCCAGUCAGUGUGCCUACAGGGAAGACUGAAAUCACUGAGAAUGGAAUCCAGUUCAUCUUCUGGCUCUCCAAAUACAGCAACAACAUUUAUGGUCUGAUCUUCAACAGCUUCCUUUGAGCACUAGAAUUUCCAGGUGCAUGUUUUCAGAGCACAAGCAACCUCUUGUCUGUCAUCUCUUGUUUAAACCAAAAAAACUGAAAAGUCAACUGUGAAAAUGUGGAAAAGAAAAGAAAAAAAAAAAAGGCCUUUGACAUUGAAACAAAGCUUCUUUAACUUGCCUAAUACAAAACAAAGUGGAAUUGUAACAAUGAAUUGAGGAGAUGUGGAUGGUAAAAGCAAGGUACUGGCAUUGGAGGUAAGGUAAAACCAGAUCCCAGCGGAAAGCAGUUGGGGGAAGAAGUUUAACAAGUUUGCUUUAUGUG